RNAcentral lists this transfer RNA (76 nucleotides) under Actinomycetota bacterium. RNAcentral describes it as "tRNA-Lys". It matches the Rfam family "tRNA". From Rfam's summary of the family: Transfer RNA (tRNA) molecules are approximately 80 nucleotides in length. Lineage: Bacteria; Bacillati; Actinomycetota. The record is from RNAcentral.
GGGCCGUUAGCUCAGUCGGUAGAGCAGCUGGCUUUUAACCAGUUGGUCGAUGGUUCAAGUCCAUCACGGCCCACCA